GACGAACGCUGGCGGCGUGCUUAACACAUGCAAGUCGAACGGAAAGGCCCUGCUUUUGUGGGGUGCUCGAGUGGCGAACGGGUGAGUAACACGUGAGUAACCUGCCCUUGACUUUGGGAUAACUUCAGGAAACUGGGGUUAUAACCGCUUAGAAUCUCUUCCACCUGGUGGGGGUUUGGAAAGUUUCGGCGUUGGGGGAUGGACUCGCGGCUUAUCAGCUGGUUGGUGGGGUAGGGGCUUACAAAGCUUUGGACGGGUAGCCGGCCUGGGAGGGUGACCGGCCACAUUGGGACUGAGAUACGGCCCAGACUCCUACGGGAGGCAGCAGUGGGGAAUAUUGCACAAUGGGCGGAAGCCUGAUGCAGCAACGCCGCGUGCGGGAUGACGGCCUUCGGGUUGUAAACCGCUUUCGCCUGUGACGAAGCGUGAGUGACGGUAAUGGGUAAAGAAGCACCGGCUAACUACGUG
RNAcentral lists this ribosomal RNA (468 nucleotides) under uncultured bacterium. RNAcentral's name for it is "partial 16S ribosomal RNA". It matches the Rfam family "Bacterial small subunit ribosomal RNA", at positions 28 to 507 of the family's 1533-position model. The record is from RNAcentral.